CGGACGGGUGAGUAACGCGUGGGAAUCUACCUAUGAGUGGGGGAUAACUUGGUGAAAACCAAGCUAAUACCGCAUGUGGUCUACGGACUAAAGCAGGGGAUCUUCGGACCUUGCGCUAAUAGAUGAGCCCGCGUUAGAUUAGCUAGUUGGUGGGGUAAAGGCCUACCAAGGCGACGAUCUAUAGCUGGUCUGAGAGGACGAUCAGCCACACUGGGACUGAGACACGGCCCAG
This 232-nucleotide ribosomal RNA is filed under the name uncultured bacterium. RNAcentral describes it as "partial 16S ribosomal RNA". It matches the Rfam family "Bacterial small subunit ribosomal RNA", at positions 99 to 334 of the family's 1533-position model. The record is from RNAcentral.